Molecule: ribosomal RNA, 90 nt
Filed under: Mycobacterium sp. AZCC_0083
Lineage: Bacteria; Bacillati; Actinomycetota; Actinomycetes; Mycobacteriales; Mycobacteriaceae
Description: partial 16S ribosomal RNA
Rfam family: Bacterial small subunit ribosomal RNA
Source: RNAcentral
UGUUUGGAGAGUUUGAUUCUGGCUCAGGACGAACGCUGGCGGCGUGCUUAACACAUGCAAGUCGAACGGAAAGGCCCUUCGGGGUACUCG